CAAUAAAAUCAGGAUUUUCCACAAUCAAGUUAUAGAAUUUAUAUUCAUUUUUUGUAUUUCUAAACCGGUGCCGCUUAGUAUUGUGGACUUUGUACCUUUAGUCUGGUUUCUUAAUGAAAAUAAUGAAAAGUAACAGCUCUUGACAUUGAAAUUUCAGAUCCCUGCACCGAUCGUAAAGGUCGUUACCUUUUUUUGAAACGAUAAAUACAUUUUUGUACCUUUUUAGUUUUAUUCGCGUUACACCACAUUUUUUAAAGCUAAAUUUGUUGCAUUGUGUUCGCUUUUUUUAACCCGAUUUUUACCCGGUCAGUUUGGUGUGAAUUAUUGAAAAGUCAUUAAUAUUCCUUAUUUGUAUAAUUUCGUUUUGAAGAAAAAUCACUGUUUUUGCAAAUUUUCAAAAAAAAAUUAUCAAUGCUAAUUACCAUAAAUCCAAAAGUACAUUAAUGGGGCAAACCAACCAUCAUGGAUGACAGCAGAUAUUUUUACAAAUUGGUCGAUCUGUGAGGAUAAAAAUAUGAUGGAUAAAGCUCAAUCAAGGGUCAUCGGAAUCAUUCAAGCUUCUAAAUGCAUUACCUGAAUAGUAGUUUAAAGAAAGUUCUAUAACUUUUAGAAAACCCAAAAAAGUACACAAAAUUUCGUACCAUAAUUACAAAUUGUUUCACAGGUUUCGAGAAAUUUGGUUUAAGUUUCGACUUCUAUUCUUUGAUGAACAUCGAUUUCUUUAAGACAUUCACCAAAUUACAAGAAACCAGAGCGGUGGUUAAAAUGAUAAUGAUGAUAAAGACGCUGGAAUAAAAGUACCUGAUAGGGAAGAAAUUCAAUAAUUUUCAAAUAGCAAUUUUGUUAAUGCCGAACGUACCGAAUGGAGUACAAUAUUCUUUGACCCGAUAAAUUUUUUUGACAAUUAAGAGAUUUUCUUAUGAGAUUAUAUUUUUUUGUUAUUCGUGUUAGUGAAUUCGAUUAAGGAUGUCUUCGAAUUACAAAUGAGAAUUGUACUCAGAAGUGUUCUAAUGUAUAGUUAUAGAGAUAAAACAGUUCAAUAAGAAAAUAUGCAUACACACAUUAUCGAUUACCCCAAUAACUAUACGAAAGAAAGCGAAAGAUAUAGGAAUGUGAAUAAAUAAUUGAACAACCCUAA
Hermetia illucens (black soldier fly) is the source of this 1138-nucleotide long non-coding RNA. RefSeq lists it as uncharacterized. Lineage: Eukaryota; Metazoa; Arthropoda; Insecta; Diptera; Stratiomyidae. The record is from RefSeq and is a predicted model, not a curated record. The transcript has 2 exons.